Molecule: long non-coding RNA, 1040 nt
Filed under: Oryzias sinensis (Chinese medaka)
Lineage: Eukaryota; Metazoa; Chordata; Actinopteri; Beloniformes; Adrianichthyidae
Description: lncRNA (ENSOSIG00000017607.1)
Source: RNAcentral
AAACACAAGCAUCAGAUCCCUUUAGGUCCCAGGUUCACACCAAAGAAUCGCAUCUGUUUCUGAGAGAUGUUCAACACAUAUCUCUGAGCUGACCUCAACCCGGAAACGCGAUGCACACAUUUCCGUUCAUCUUUUGCUUUGAUUGAUUACUGAAGCCAAACGGCCACUUUGACCAAAGUUUGAGGAGCAGCUGUUCGGCCGACGUGACGCUGUGAGCGGCUACAGCCUCCACGUUUAUCCAAUUCCCGCCUCUAACGGCUUCAAACCGACGUGAGACAACAAAAAAACUUCACCUGGUAAGAAACCCGAGUCCGUGUUGUCUAGUUUUUCCUCCAUGACUGCAGAAAUCGACAGACUAACUUUUGGUGCGUUCAAGUGCUCUCGCUGAGCUCUGAAUUUACAGCUCUAAAAACUUCCAAUGUUUCUUAAAGAUUUAUUCGUUAUGAUUUAAACGGCGAAAAAAUGUAAAUGAAAAAGUAUUUAAUUAGUUAUUUAUUUGUUAAAAACAAUAUUUGCUGAAGAAGAACAUAGCCGUGAGAAGGAAAGCCUACAUUUAUAUUUGAUAAAACGAUCAAAUUAAUUGGAGAAAUUCAGCAUCCAUAUUACCAAGACAUACAAUAAAAAAUAGAAAAGCAAGUUUUCUAAGUAUUAAUAAAAGAUACAGAGUACUUCUGUGGGUUUAAUCACUUUUCUCGUCAGUUUCGCUAUUUACCACAGUUUUAAUGGGAUCGAAAGACAUUAAAAGUGACGUCACUUCCACGUGUUGUCGGAAGAGGGCAGAAGUUUAUUUCUGAUUGACAACAACUAACGUGAAAGUGAAAAUUUUUUUAUUGAUUUGUGUCUGCAAAUGAACUGCUUACAUUCACCUGGACUAAAAUGCAACAUCCCGGAAGUUUAACCGACGGAUGAGCAGCUGCACGCGCGGAGGAAGGAAAACGUUCACCAGAAGAUCCAGCAGUGAUUCACAAUCUGACCGCCAUCGUUUGGAGUAAGAGCGUUCACUGAAGGAAACCAAACAAAGUGAAGGCAAGAGAAGAGGA